GUUAGGAAUAUUCGUCAAUGGGGGAAACCCUGAACGAGCAAUGCCGCGUGAGUGAUGACGGUCCUUUGGAUUGUAAAACUCUGUUGUAUGGAAAAAAUGACUAAGUUAGGAAAUGAACUUAGUGUGAUGGUACCAUGCCAGAAAGCCCCGGCUAACUACGUGCCAGCAGCCGCGGUAAUACGUAGGGGGCAAGCGUUAUCCGGAUUUAUUGGGCGUAAAGCGUGUGUAGGCGGUUUGUUAAGUUUAAGAUUAAAGCCUGGGGCUCAACUCCAGUUCGUCUUAAAAACUGGCAGGCUAGAGUACGGUAGAGGCAAACGGAAUUUCUAGUGUAGCGGUGAAAUGCGUAGAUAUUAGAAGGAACACCAGUGGCGAAAGCGGUUUGCUGGGCCGUUACUGACGCUGAGGCACGAAAGCGUGGGGAGCAAAUAGGAUUAGAUACCCCUGUAGUCC
This 450-nucleotide ribosomal RNA is filed under the name uncultured bacterium. RNAcentral describes it as "bacterial SSU rRNA". It matches the Rfam family "Bacterial small subunit ribosomal RNA", at positions 354 to 796 of the family's 1533-position model. The record is from RNAcentral.